GAAAAUAUCCUCAAAAUGCUAACGCUGUGCUCACUGUGGGAUUGCAUUUUGCAUUCAAAUGGAAGAUGGUGACUCUAGAAUUUUUGGAGAAGAUCCUUGAAGUUAGUUUGGAUCAUUAUCCAGAAGUUUGGAAGACUGUCCAGUGACAUUGACUCACAAAAGGAAUCUCAGCAUCACUGUGGAUGGCUCAGUGAAAACAUCUUUCUGUAAAAGUCAAAACCAGAAACUAACUAACAGGGAAAGCAAAUGAAAACAAUCAGAAGGACUAUCUUCCCACAUCUUAAAUUCCUGUAACAUCCCAGUCAUCUGAGGGGCAUGCAGGUGGUAGGUAAGAAAAGGGCAAGGACAAGAAGAGAAAACAUGAGAUACAAAGAAAAGGAAGCAUGUCUCCUCUCUCUGUUCUGCAGAUCAAAGCAAGUUUAUGUCCAUUUCAACUUCACCCUGUAGGCCCCACUCUGAAGAUCAAACCUGUGUUACAAUCGGCAUAUGUUUCAUGGACAUGGAGGUUUGUGGGUUUUGAGUGGCUGAUACCAU
Molecule: long non-coding RNA, 534 nt
Organism: Strigops habroptila (Kakapo)
Lineage: Eukaryota; Metazoa; Chordata; Aves; Psittaciformes; Psittacidae
Exons: 3
Source: RefSeq, a predicted model, not a curated record